Oxyura jamaicensis (ruddy duck) is the source of this 868-nucleotide long non-coding RNA. RefSeq lists it as uncharacterized. Lineage: Eukaryota; Metazoa; Chordata; Aves; Anseriformes; Anatidae. The record is from RefSeq and is a predicted model, not a curated record. The transcript is spliced from 3 exons.
CACCUGAGGCUGGCCAGGUAGUGGCCACAGAUUUUGGCAGGAGCCUCUGCUAGGUGGACAAGACAUUGUGGGAGAGAGGAGGGCAGGGGAUGGCGGUAACAUCUCCACCUGCUGCAAAUUCAUCUUCUCCCCGCUUUCUUUGGGAGGGCUAUUUUUAACUGGAUCAUCCCAGAGACCCCAGAUGUCAAUGUGCAGCCUCACAGACUGUUGGGUCAGCAUGCACAAGGUGGCCUGAGCAGCGAGGACGUGGGGACAGGCGUUGGAGGAGGACCAAUCUCAUCACAGGAGGCACAGCACCGUGAGGACCACCAAGAGCUCCUGGGGCGCUUGAAGCUUCCCCGUAGCAUUUGGGUGUGCUGAGCUGUGUUAGCUGAUUUCUUCAAGACUCAAGCUUGCUUUUGGGAAGGAGCUUUGCUUUUGCCUGGGCUCUGCCAAGGAGCAGCGCGGUGGAAGAGCAGCUUCCAUCAGAGCCAGAGUGAUGAGAGCUGGAUGCUGCGGAAAAGGAGCAGGCCUCACGGAAAGCAGGCUCAAGGAUCUGCAAUGUCACAGCAUGUGCCACGUCCCCCCUGACCUCUGAGGCACUUUCAAUACCUCGUGAGCUGAAGUCAGCAGCCAUCUCAGCCUAAAACAUUACCAUCAGCUCUGUUGCAGUAGCAUCAGAAAGACCCAAAGAGGAUCAAGGCCCCAUUGUGCUCAGAUCUGCAUAAAUACCCAGUGAGAGACAGCUCCUGCCCUCAUGAGGUUACAGAAUGAAAGGGAAGGCAGCCAGAGUGAAGGCAAGUGGGAGACAUGGAAGUGGUGUUGCUAGUCACAUAGCAUGUUCAUCUCUUGUUCUCCCUUUCCCCCAAAAAUUAAAGUAAAAUAAGUU